Molecule: ribosomal RNA, 301 nt
Filed under: uncultured bacterium
Lineage: Bacteria
Description: partial 16S ribosomal RNA
Rfam family: Bacterial small subunit ribosomal RNA
Source: RNAcentral
CAGUCGCCGCGGGAAUACGUAGGUCCCGAGCGUUGUCCGGAUUUAUUGGGCGUAAAGCGGGCGCAGGCGGUUAGAUAAGUCUGAAGUUAAAGGCUGUGGCUUAACCAUAGCACGCUUUGGAAACUGUUUAACUUGAGUGCAAGAGGGGAGAGUGGAAUUCCAUGUGUAGCGGUGAAAUGCGUAGAUAUAUGGAGGAACACCGGUGGCGAAAGCGGCUCUCUGGCUUGUAACUGACGCUGAGGCUCGAAAGCGUGGGGAGCAAACAGGAUUAGAUACCCCCGUAGUCCCUGUCUCUUAUACA